Long non-coding RNA from Apis mellifera (honey bee), 887 nucleotides. RefSeq lists it as uncharacterized. The transcript has 3 exons. The record is from RefSeq and is a predicted model, not a curated record. Lineage: Eukaryota; Metazoa; Arthropoda; Insecta; Hymenoptera; Apidae.
CUCCCCUCUUCUUCUUCCGUCCACGGACAACCGAUAUCGAUAAAUCCCGUGAGUGACCAAAUCGGAGCGCGGAGCGAGCCGCGUAUUUACGCCGCCUCCGAUCGGAUGUAUUAUUACCGAACGAACGGUUGCCACAGCUUCGCCGAACUUCGUCCACUUCGGGAAAGGAAACUUUAUCCACGGAUCGAUCGGGAAAAAUUUCGAGUUUAAGCCCAGUACCAACUUUCGCGACGCAAAGGAAAGGAUAAGAAAGAGGAGGGAAACAGGUGAACAGCCUUGGUGGAGCUUCGAAUUCCACACGUGAAAGGACGAUUGUUAUUGGCCAAGAGCGGGAGGCACGGCUCCCGCUUCGAUUCGCGAUCUGCGCCGCGGUACUCUGCACUUUUGCUCCGGAUAUCUAUCGGAGCAAUGAAAAAUCGAAUCCUUUCCUCCGCACCCGUGAUUCGAGUCUUCUUCACUUCUGUAAUGAAAUGGAAGGAGGUGGGGGAGUCGAUUAUCGAUCAAAAGAGAAAAUAGAGCUCGAAUCUUAAUUAAUUUAGGAAAUUUCGAAUCAAAUCAUGAUAGUUGAGAGUAUUUUCGCGAGUCAAAUCUUAACGAGAAUUCAGUUCAUUGCUCUUGUUUAAGAUUGCUAAAAAAUAUAAAUCGAUACAAGAGUCGAUAAAUGCAUGGAUAAAAUUAUCGUAGUAUUGUUUCUUUAUCGCGUUCUACUUUCCUCAAGGUAUCUGGUGGAAAGUAGAUUAUCAAUCUUGUAAAAAUCGAUUGCUUAAUCGUAUAUCGAAAAGUUUUUUUUUUUUAAAUUAAGUGAUAAUAUACGAUUUUAUAUUAUAUUGUGUUAAGAAGAUGAUUUUUAAAAAAUUAAUAAAUUAAUAAAUUUUUUAAUGUAAUUU